RNAcentral lists this ribosomal RNA (469 nucleotides) under uncultured bacterium. RNAcentral's name for it is "partial 16S ribosomal RNA". It matches the Rfam family "Bacterial small subunit ribosomal RNA", at positions 28 to 508 of the family's 1533-position model. The record is from RNAcentral.
GACGAACGCUGGCGGCGUGCUUAACACAUGCAAGUCGAACGGAAAGACCCUGCUUUUGUGGGGUGCUCGAGUGGCGAACGGGUGAGUAACACGUGAGUAACCUGCCCUUGACUUUGGGAUAACUUCAGGAAACUGGGGCUAAUACCGGAUAGGAGCUCCUGCUGCAUGGUGGGGGUUGGAAAGUUUCGGCGGUUGGGGAUGGACUCGCGGCUUAUCAGCUUGUUGGUGGGGUAGUGGCUUACCAAGGCUUUGACGGGUAGCCGGCCUGAGAGGGUGACCGGCCACAUUGGGACUGGGAUACGGCCCAGACUCCUACGGGAGGCAGCAGUGGGGAAUAUUGCACAAUGGGCGGAAGCCUGAUGCAGCAACGCCGCGUGCGGGAUGACGGCCUUCGGGUUGUAAACCGCUUUCGCCUGUGACGAAGCGUGAGUGACGGUUAUGGGUAAAGAAGCACCGGCUAAAUACGUGC